GGGGCACGGAGCUGCGGGAGCAGAGCCCUGCAAGGGCACGCAUCCACGCGUGCUGUGCCCUGCUCAUCCUGGGGACAGCUUCCACCUUGGGUGCCAUGAGCGGGUGACCCUGGGAUGCUGGCACCGGUGCCCUUCCAAUGGAAGGGGAGGCGGUGUCCCAUGGUUGGCAGCUGCACUGAGGGGAUCCCUGCCCUGCUGGGGAGCAGGGAUUGAGCGCAGCACCUGCUGCAAAUGGAAAACAAUCACUUCCCACACGAAAAUAACUGAUGGGCUGCAUUAACGAGGAGAUGUCUGAGGAAUUUCAAUUAAAACCCAGCGACACUGACAAAGGCAAUGAGAUUGAAGUGUUCAAAGCAGCAGAGAAUGCUGGGAGAGAUGCCAGGCCUUCGAGCGGUUGGGAGAACUUAACCUUGGCUGGAGGCACUGCCAUAAGUGACAGCAGAGACAAGCUGAGCCACAAGCAGAGCAUGGCAGGAGCCCGCAUCGGCUUCCCUGCAGCUGCCAGGCCACCCGGUGAAGAAGAUGAGUAUCUUCUAAGGCAGAUGAUAUUGUCUUUGGUGGGAAGAGCAUGUCCUUACAGCCUCUCCCCUGCAGGGACAGCUCUGCUCUGCCUGAGCCAGUGAUGGAACCAGAGAGCAGCGGGCUCAGGCUGCUGGGAAGGGCAUUGCCAGGCACCCCCAAGGGGAGACCAUGAAGGUAUCCUUUCUUGUCUCAACCACAGGUUUGGAAUUUGCCAGGAAAGGAUCUGCCUGAGUCAGGCAGGAGGCAGAGAGCUGCGGUCCUCCAUGUGCUGCAGCACGGCAGAGCUCUCAGGCUGACGGCCCUAAUGGGGUUGUGCUGAUGGGCUGCCUCAAGAAACACAUCCACUUACACGGAGAUGUAUGGGAGUAACAACCGACCGCUGCCGGCCCUGCUCAGAGCCUGCCAGAUCCUGCAGCCCUGCUUCCCCGAGGCACGCUGCAUUUCCAGGCGUGUGUUGUUCCAUUAAGCUAUUUUUAGCAAACACAUUCCCCUUAUUUCAGCAGCAGUUAUCUGAUUAGUUCCUGUAACUAUAUGAGGAGCAACAUUUCCAGGCAUGACUGAGAGCUGUGAGCAGGCUGUGCCUCUUCACAUGCAUUUUCUCAAAGGGAGAAACUUGCCGAGGCUGCUCCUCCCGCGGUGCUCCCAUGGUUGCACGGCUCCAAGCACUGGCACUGCAUGCAGCCGAGCUCUGCAACACGCGACCUUUGGCAGAGCAGCAGCCAGCAGGCAGUGUCCCCUCUGCCACCUGCGAUGAGGGGCCAUCCCUGUGCCGUGUUGCUGUGAUGCAGCGGCGAUAAGCAGCUGGCUUUGUUUGCUCUGAGCACGCGGCUCUUAAAGAUUUCUAUCGUCAUCGGCUGGUGGCGGGGAGGGGGGAAAAACAAAGUCUCUUUGCUAAAGCAGCACUGGUGCUGGGGAGGCUGUGCACCCUCUCCCCUGCGCAGGGAAUGCCCUGUGCCAGCUUUGUUGCUGCACGGGAACAAGCUAAAAAUCCCGUGGAGCCAUCGGUAGCUCCAGCAUUGUACUUUGCUCCCUCCGCCACUAUCGACCACAGCUGUCCUGGAAAAUCAGAUUAUAGAGCAAAGCCUUGGCAUCAAGUCUGCU
This 1623-nucleotide long non-coding RNA is filed under the name Numida meleagris (helmeted guineafowl). RNAcentral's name for it is "lncRNA (ENSNMEG00000012101.1)". The record is from RNAcentral. Lineage: Eukaryota; Metazoa; Chordata; Aves; Galliformes; Numididae.